Small nuclear RNA from Callithrix jacchus (white-tufted-ear marmoset), 61 nucleotides. Its record names the gene U7. It matches the Rfam family "U7 small nuclear RNA". From Rfam's summary of the family: Animal histone pre-mRNAs are spliced by a different mechanism than nuclear pre-mRNAs and self-splicing introns. This processing involves the U7 snRNP, which contains only one RNA species: U7. The record is from Ensembl. Lineage: Eukaryota; Metazoa; Chordata; Mammalia; Primates; Cebidae.
CAGUGUUACAGCUCUUAGAAUUUGUCUAGCAGGCUUUCUGUUUUUUUGCCAGAAGGCCCCA